UUGAUCAGAUCAUUAUCAUCUCCAAAAUUAAAUCUGAACCUCAUGUCUAAUGCUAGCUAGACAUAGUUAACUUGUUUAAGCCUAUAUGACCUUUAACUUAAUUCUCAAUUAAGCUAAUCUAUUUAUUCAAUCAAGUCAAGUACUUUCAAAUUGAACUCAUAGACUUGGUUCAAUUUUUUUCUAUAUUUUCUGAUUUUGUGCACGACUCUACUA
This 213-nucleotide long non-coding RNA is filed under the name Elaeis guineensis (African oil palm). RNAcentral describes it as "long non-coding RNA (EGUI_LNC069772)". The record is from RNAcentral. Lineage: Eukaryota; Viridiplantae; Streptophyta; Magnoliopsida; Arecales; Arecaceae.